AGAGACUGACUCACUCACACACUCCACGUAUCAUCACAGAAAGAGACUGGCUCACUCACACACUCCACGUAUCAUCACAGAAAGAGACUGGCUCACUCACACACUCCAUGUAUCAUCACAGAAAGAGACUGACUCACACACUCCACGUAUCAUCACAGAAAGAGACUGGCUCACUCACACACUCUACGUAUCAUCACAGAAAGAGACUGGCUCACUCACACACUCCACGUAUCAUCACAGAAAGAGACUGGCUCACUCACACACUCCACGUAUCAUCACAGAAAGAGACUGACUCAUUCACACACUCCACGUAUCAUCACAGAAAGAGACUGGCUCACACACACACUCCACGUAUCAUCACAGAAAGAGACUGACUCACUCACACACUCCACGUAUUCUCACAGAAAGAGACUGACUCACUCACACACUCCACGUAUCAUCACAGAAAGAGACUGGCUCACUCACACACUCUACGUAUCAUCACAGAAAGAGACUGGCUCACUCACACACUCCACGUAUCAUCACAGAAAGAGACUGACUCACUCACACACUCCACGUAUCAUCACAGAAAGAGACUGACUCACUCACACUUUCUAUAUUUUGCAGCUGUAACAUACUGUACCAUUCUCUUCAACUCAUGCAGUCUCUCAAGCUACUGACCAAUUGUCAUUUGUCUUACGACAUAACCUCAUUGACUACAUUACAUAGGACAGCAUUGUGGCUGCCUACCCUCUGACCUUGUUUGAAACAAAUUCUAUAUUUCUAAGCAAAUGAAUGAAUUUUAUGGCUAUUUUAUGUUGAAAUGUUUUUAUAUAGGACAUUGUUAAAGCUGCUAUUUUGCAUGUUUGUAAUAAAUAUUUUAACUGUACUGCAAGUCCAUGUAGGCCAUUUUUGCACAGUGUGUGUCAACCAGUUGAAACCUGUUUCAGAGAGGGAAAACAACUCUGCUGUGUUGCCCACUCCUGUUCCUGUUUGUUUCAGUCUGGGUCAUGAAGUUCAAAACUUUAAUUGCUGUUUGUUUUCAAUGUGUUAACUCUCAAAAUGCACAAUUUAAUUAAUAAUGAAUGCAUUUUGACAAAGUAGAACAAAAAAACAUCCAUGUUAUUGCAAUUAAAACUCGUAUUUAACUGUAAUUAAGGAAGUAAAAUGCUGUUUUGAAUAAAAUGAAUUUCUGUGUGUGUUUUUGUGGAUCCCCA
This 1196-nucleotide long non-coding RNA is filed under the name Salmo salar (Atlantic salmon). RNAcentral's name for it is "lncRNA (ENSSSAG00000091830.1)". The record is from RNAcentral. Lineage: Eukaryota; Metazoa; Chordata; Actinopteri; Salmoniformes; Salmonidae.